GUGCUCGCUUGGCAGCACUUAUACUAAAAUUGGAAUGACAUGGAGAUUAGCAUGAUCCCUGGGCAAGGAUGACAUGCAAGUUCCCAAAGCAUUUCCACAAGGAA
This is a small nuclear RNA of Nannospalax galili (Upper Galilee mountains blind mole rat), 104 nucleotides long. The record is from Ensembl. NCBI's taxonomy places the organism in Eukaryota, Metazoa, Chordata, Mammalia, Rodentia, Spalacidae.